Ehrlichia canis str. Jake is the source of this 336-nucleotide non-coding RNA. The record is from Rfam. NCBI's taxonomy places the organism in Bacteria, Pseudomonadati, Pseudomonadota, Alphaproteobacteria, Rickettsiales, Anaplasmataceae.
UGUAUUGACUUAUAGAAAUAUAGUAUUAUAAUUACUACCGUGUUUUAAGCACUAUGGCAAUAAAGGCAUCUUAAAAUAGAUGUAUUGGACCCGAGGGCAGUGCUCGGCAUCUCCACUUAUUACUAUGGGGGUGAAACAGGAUCGACAUGCAUAGUAAAGGGGAUAGUUUUUGCCCGGUGAGAAAGCAGCCGUUUAAAUGCUCAAAAUUUAUAAGUGCAAACGAUAAUUUCGUUUUUGCAAAUGACAAUAAUAGCAGUGUUGCUGGCUUAGUGGCUGCUUAGUUUUGUCAUUAGCGCGGUUUUUUAGAGGGUUUCCCGGGCAACAGAAAAAUCCUCU